CAAAUUCCCCUCCGCCUCGCCUGACCACUCCGCCCGCUCUUCCUCUCCUUUUUCCCAAGUCCCCGGCGCCGCCGCCCGCCGUCCCCACCAAGCACCACUCGUCCCUCUUCCUCUCCCUCUCCACCCGCGCGCGCGCCGCCUCCCCCAGCUCCCCGUUCCCCUCGCCGUCUCCUCCGGCGGAUGGGGUCGGCCCCGCGGCGCCGAUGCGGGGUGACGUGUACCUGGGGCGGUAGCUCGCGGCCGCGGCCGCGGCGGGCGCCCGUACGCGCGCGUCGGAGGAGGAUGCCGAGAGGCGCCACCGCCGCAAGGAGAAGCGGUGGGCCCUGGCCAAGAAGACGCCCUUCCCUUUUCUCCGAAGUCAAUCAAUCCCUACCUCCCUCCAUCAAUCAUGCGGGCAGGGCAGGGCAUCCCCUCCAAGAUUUGAUUUUGCUUCUAAAUCUUUAGGGGAGGGGAAGGAAGGGAAGGGAAGGAGGAGGAAGCGUCCAUCUCCGUCAGCGUCAGCGUCAGCGUCACCGUUCCUUCCUCCUUGCCGCCGGAGGAGGAGGAAGAAGAAGAGCAUGAAGAGGAGGAUGACAUGGCUGUGGUGAAGAUGACGCUGGGCCCUCAGGUUCCCCUCAAGGACCUCCUCCACCUCCACAAGGCAAGCAAAGCAACCUACAUCUGCAUCUUUCUUUCUUUCUUUUUAAUACUAGUAAUAGAUAAUAGAUACUGAAACUGCAAAUGGAUGGAUGGAUCUAUGUAAAUAUGUAGUGUAGGGGGAGGAGGAGGAGGACCAGUCGAUGAAUUUGAGGUUUCUUUGAUGCUUACUGUUGUGAUUCAUAAAGGUCUGAAUCUGAUCCCGUAAGUAAGAUUAUUAAUUUCAACUGAAUCAUUUUUUGGGCAGUGAGUCACUCAUUCAUCUAUGUAUACUUAUUAAUGUGGCCACUAAUUAAUUUUCUUCCAGUUGGACCUGCCUGCCUCUGCAUAUAUAUUCAGAUAGAUAACGCAUAUGUUUGACCUGCCUGCUGUGCAAAAUACCACCACACAAGGCAGGGUGGCACCACCGAUCCCGCACCUCAGUUGCUUCAAACUUUGACAAAAGGGCCACAACCCAGUUCCAUUAAUAAGAAAUGAUGAAACAAGCAGGUUUGGGGUUCUGAAACUUGGACAAAAAGCAAAGCCAAAAGAGAAAAACAGCAAAUGCAGCAAAAAAAUAUAGGAAUGCUUUUGUAAACUCAUUUGUAAGGUUUUCAAUGUUUAUUUCCAUGGUUUUAUUGCCAUUCAGAAUCAUGUACGUGCCACUGCUAUGCUCUGUUUUCAUCUUGCAUUUCAGCAACCAAAACGUCGAAUUUAUAUCUUCAGUUUCGAUCUUCCAUGUCUUUGUGAAAGUUCAAUCCAACCACCAGUACUGUACUCCACAAAAUAACAUUUUUGGUCCGAGAUAAAUAUGUCUAUGUGUUCUUUUAUGAUUAUUACUACUCCAGUAGUGAAUGUUGGAGUAUGUUGAAGCAGUCGUGGAGUCUUGCGGUGGCUUUUUGUAUCUUGCCAACUAAAGAGGUGGUUGCAGAGGUGGACAGAGAUGACUACAACCUGCCAGGAGCUGAAACUCUGAAACUUCCAAAGAAAUCGACACUUCAGUUCAGCUCAGAAAAUGUUUGCUGCUUGCAAAUCUUCCAAUGGACGACUUGCAACUUGCCGGUUCACGGUAUAGCGCUCAACUUGUUAUCUCUGAACUUGGCUGAAUUUUGUUGGAGCCUAUUACUGCCAUGUUCAGCUACCUAGUGGUCCAAUAUAAGAACGGAACCAAGCCUUGAGGACAGGGGCCAUAGGAUGGGCACAGCAUCAUUGUGGAAGUCUGCAGAAUAUUGAUCUCUUUCUUUCAAACACACCACACUUCUUUACAAUAGUUUUGAACUGGCUGGGUGGCAGUGAAAGCCAGGACGCACUAUCUGAAGUUCUGGCUGGCAUCACGUCUCCCAUUGACACUGAGUUCUUUUGCAGAAGUGCUCAUUCUGCAGCUAUGUAUGCUGUCACCUCCAUGAUCUGCUAUGCUGAUGACCGCUACGUCUGCUUUGCUCGAGAAGAGGACAAGUGGGUCAUAUAUGGCUUCGAGACUGUCGAGAGAGAAGAUAGUUGGGAGCAUUUGCUAGAACGCUGGUGGCAUGGCACGAGGCCGACAUUGACUGGGGCCUGCUUGAGCCGAGGGCUAGGGCGAGGGACGUCACGGUGUCACAACUCAAGGCGGCGGCUGCCAUCGGUCAAGUGUGGCUCGUCGAGGCUGCUCGUUAUACUUCGUUGCAGCUGAAGGCCGCGGGAUCAGGCCAGGAAGGCGCCAUGCGUUGACAAGUGAGCCAAUUUUUGGAUCGGACCAUGACAACGUGUCUCAGUCUCUGACUUCUAGAAGUAGUGGUAAAGUUUUGAAUUUGCAUGGCAAGAACCACUUAUGUAGGUAGCUGACACGCACAACAUUGUGUUUACGCUCUUACUUAUGUAAAAGAUAUGAAUUAUACACGAGUUGCCUCUACAAUGAGGAGUUGUGCUAGUAGAUACGGCAAUUGUGUGAUAGAA
Molecule: non-coding RNA, 2547 nt
Organism: Triticum urartu
Lineage: Eukaryota; Viridiplantae; Streptophyta; Magnoliopsida; Poales; Poaceae
Source: RefSeq, a predicted model, not a curated record